GACGAACGCUGGCGGCGUGCUUAACACAUGCAAGUCGAACGGAAAGGCCCUGCUUUUGUGGGGUGCUCGAGUGGCGAACGGGUGAGUAACACGUGAGUAACCUGCCCUUGACUUUGGGAUAACUUCAGGAAACUGGGGCUAAUACCGGAUAGGAGCUCCUGCUGCAUGGUGGGGGUUGGAAAGUUUCGGCGGUUGGGGAUGGACUCGCGGCUUAUCAGCUUGUUGGUGGGGUAGUGGCUUACCAAGGCUUUGACGGGUAGCCGGCCUGAGAGGGUGACCGGCCACAGUGGGACUGAGAUACGGCCCAGACUCCUACGGGAGGCAGCAGUGGGGAAUAUUGCACAAUGGGCGGAAGCCUGAUGCAGCAACGCUGCGUGCGGGAUGACGGCCUUCUGGUUGUAAACCGCUUUCGCCUGUGACGAAGCGUGAGUGACGGUAAUGGGUAAAGAAGCACCGGCUAACUACGUG
Molecule: ribosomal RNA, 468 nt
Filed under: uncultured bacterium
Lineage: Bacteria
Description: partial 16S ribosomal RNA
Rfam family: Bacterial small subunit ribosomal RNA
Source: RNAcentral